CCUACGGGAGGCAGCAGUGAGGAAUAUUGGGCAAUGGGCGCGAGCCUGAACCAGCGAAGUAGCGUGAAGGAUGACUGCCCUACGGGUGGUAAACUUCUUUUAUAAAGGAAUAAAGUGAGGCACGUGUGCCUUUUUGUAUGUACGUUAUGAAUAAGGAUAGGAUAACUCCGUGCCAGGAGCGGCGGUAAUACGGAGGGUACGAGCGUUAUCCGGAUUGAUUGGGUUUAAAGGGAGCGUAGAUGGGUUGUUAAGUCAGUUGUGAAAGUUUGCGGCUCAACCGUAAAAUUGCAAUUGAUACUGGCAGUCUUGAGUACAGUUGAGGUAGGCGGAAUUCGUGGUGUAGCGGUGAAAUGCUUAGAUAUCACGAAGAACUCCGAUUGCGAAGGCAGCUUACUAAACUGCCACUGACAUUGAUGCUCGAAAGUGUGGGUAUCAAACAGGAUUAGAUACCCCUGUAGUC
RNAcentral lists this ribosomal RNA (460 nucleotides) under uncultured bacterium. RNAcentral describes it as "partial 16S ribosomal RNA". It matches the Rfam family "Bacterial small subunit ribosomal RNA", at positions 338 to 795 of the family's 1533-position model. The record is from RNAcentral.